UCGCCUUGUUUAUCAAAAACAUCGCCUCUUGCUAACAAUGAAGUAUUAGAGGUCCCGCCUGCCCUGUGACAGCAAUGUUUAACGGCCGCGGUAUCCUAACCGCGCGAAGGUAGCGUAAUCACUUGUCUUUUAAAUGGAGACCUGUAUGAAUGGCAUAACGAGGACUUAACUGUCUCCUUUCCCUAGUCGAUGAAAUUGAUCUGCCCGUGCAGAAGCGGGCAUACCAGCAUAAGACGAGAAGACCCUAUGGAGCUUUAGGCAGAUGAUCAAGCUCAACAAGCCCUGUCAAAAAUUAGGAUUGGGAAGACAAACGCCAAUGAUCAGCACGCCUUCGGUUGGGGCGACCGUGGAGGAGAAAAAAGCCUCCAUGUAGAACGGGAAAACCCUUAAGCUAAGAUAAACUAAUCUAAGUAUCAGAAAUUCUGACUAAGUAUGAUCCAGGACAAAUCUGAUCAACGAACUGAGUUACCCUAGGGAUAACAGCGCAAUCCUCUCCCAGAGUCCAUAUCGACGAGAGGGUUUACGACCUCGAUGUUGGAUCAGGACAUCCUAAUGGUGCAGCCGCUAUUAAGGGUUCGUUUGUUCAACGAUUAAUAGUCCUACGUGAUCUGAGUUCAGACCGG
This 623-nucleotide ribosomal RNA is filed under the name Gymnothorax richardsonii (Richardson's moray). RNAcentral's name for it is "partial 16S ribosomal RNA subunit". It matches the Rfam family "Bacterial large subunit ribosomal RNA", at positions 1796 to 2619 of the family's 2925-position model. The record is from RNAcentral. Lineage: Eukaryota; Metazoa; Chordata; Actinopteri; Anguilliformes; Muraenidae.